GAUGAACGCUGGCGGCGUGCUUAACACAUGCAAGUCGAACGGAAAGGCUCCGCCUUGGAGGGGUACUCGAGUGGCGAACGGGUGAGUAACACGUGGGUGAUCUGCCCUGCACUUCGGGAUAAGCCUGGGAAACUGGGGCUAAUACCGGAUAGGAGCACAUGCUGGAUGGUGUGGUGGAGAGUUUUUCGGUGGGGGAUGAACUAGCGGCCUAUCAGCUUGUUGGUGGGGUAGUGGCCUACCAAGGCGUCGACGGGUAGCCGGCCUGAGAGGGUGAACGGCCACAUUGGGACUGAGAUACGGCCCAGACUCCUACGGGAGGCAGCAGUGGGGAAUAUUGCACAAUGGGCGGAAGCCUGAUGCAGCAACGCCGCGUGGGGGAUGACGGCCUUCGGGUUGUAAACCGCUUUCGCCUGGGACGAAGCGUGAGUGACGGUAAUUGGUAAAGAAGCACCGGCUAACUACGUG
This 465-nucleotide ribosomal RNA is filed under the name uncultured bacterium. RNAcentral's name for it is "partial 16S ribosomal RNA". It matches the Rfam family "Bacterial small subunit ribosomal RNA", at positions 28 to 507 of the family's 1533-position model. The record is from RNAcentral.